This 288-nucleotide long non-coding RNA is filed under the name Felis catus (domestic cat). Its description in RNAcentral is "lncRNA (ENSFCAG00000051668.1)". Lineage: Eukaryota; Metazoa; Chordata; Mammalia; Carnivora; Felidae. The record is from RNAcentral.
GGAGAGAAUGCCAAACCAGAAGAUUAACAUUUCUGUUACAUAAUUACGAGUUCAAGGAGUUCAGCCUCUUAUCACUCUACGUUCCGUGUUGUACCAACAUCGACGAUCGGAAUUAAUUACGCCCUAAACCAGAAGAAAUUGUGUUGCAAAGAACCAACAUCAGCUCGGAGACUGUAAGCCUCUCCUUGUGCUCUGAAGCAGCACGAGCAGAGGCCUGACGUCGGCUCCAGCGCUGGGGAGGGAAAGGAUCUUUGUUCAGGAAGUUACUUAUUGGACAAUUAACAUGUG